ACGAGAUACCGCCAGAUGGCGGCUUAGGAUUGCUGCUCCCUGUCAGGCGCGGCCCGGGGCUUAUUCGUGUUAUUAUUAUUAUUUUAUAUUUAUUGCAUAUCCAAAAGACACUGUGUAAUAUAAUUAGAUCUACAUAGUUGCCUAUAGCAACGUUUUACGCACAGUUGUUUUGGUGGCCGUGGGGCCUGGCCGGGAUUUUAACCCUCAUUCUGCCGUCUCCUUUGUGUACCUCUCAUUGGGAUUAAUUUAUAUUUUAACCGACUCCCUGGGACGGAUUUAGGUUCCAUGAAGAGACCCGGAAUGCCUAGUUGAGGGGGAGGCUAAUGGACAUGUCCCAGCAACACCUGAGGGUUGUUAUGGCUGAAAUACCACAGGCAGAUGCUGUGCUCACAACCUGGUAUCCCUAUACCCCUGUCGUCUUGAAUGGCAUAUCCAAGGGAGUAAUGGGUCUUGCAUAUGUCUGAGCUCUCAUAAAACAAUCCUUUAAAGGAUCAUGCAAAUGCAAUGGAGUAGAAUUACAUAAUAAGUGCAUAAUAAAAAAAUAUGAUGCAAUAA
Long non-coding RNA from Bombina bombina (fire-bellied toad), 555 nucleotides. RefSeq lists it as uncharacterized. The record is from RefSeq and is a predicted model, not a curated record. The transcript is spliced from 2 exons. Lineage: Eukaryota; Metazoa; Chordata; Amphibia; Anura; Bombinatoridae.